AUGGGCACACCACUCUGAACGCGCCCGAUCUGGUCUGAUCUCGAAGCUAAGCAAGGUUGGGCCUGGUUAGUACUUAGAUGGGAGAAUGUGUGUGUGUGUCUUUU
This 104-nucleotide ribosomal RNA is filed under the name Ochotona princeps (American pika). The record is from RNAcentral. Lineage: Eukaryota; Metazoa; Chordata; Mammalia; Lagomorpha; Ochotonidae.